UUCAGGAACCACUCUUGGUUUGUUAAAUCUUCAGAGAUCCUGCCAACUACAUAUAAUAAUCACAUCUUGACAUAAAAUAUGCCUAAUCUAAUGGUAUGAGUCACAGAUUUACAGCCAUGCAUUUCAUGCCUAAUCUUGGAGAUGUUAUACUGAAAUUAUGUUUCUGCAUCCAACAGAUAUUUUCGCCAUGCUUCAGGUGAGAUGUAUGACAUUGCUCAAGGUCUGGCCAAAUUUGUUUGAAUAAAUAGAGAUAUUCUCUGUACCUAUGCCCAUGAUGAUGUCGGUGUCGAAUCUUGGUUUAUUAGGCUUGAUGUUAAACAUCUUAAUGACGCCAAGUUUUGCUGCUCCUCUUGGACAGGAGGAGCCAUUUGUGCUGGUGUGUGAUUUGAUUUUCUUUGAGGUGGUGGAUCAAAGUAAAACCAGAUGCAGGGAGAUGGUUUAAAAGACAUUGGAUUCAUAUCUGUGAGAUGUUUGCAGCCUACACAAUGUAGAGUAUGAAGAUUGAGGAAAAAUGAUCGCUGUGAUUGAGAAUUUAUUCCAAGUGUCUUACCCGUAGGUGAAGUAGCUUUGUUCCCAUUACAGUACACUGCAGAUAGGAAAGAAGGGAUUUCAACAAACCAUGCCUAGAGAAGGCAGUCGGUAUAGCUUUAUAGGUUUAGUAACUGCAAAUUUUACAGUGUAAUAUAUAG
This is an RNA transcript of Rosa chinensis, 689 nucleotides long. It is a transcript of the gene named hydroxyproline O-galactosyltransferase HPGT1-like, with no coding region annotated. Lineage: Eukaryota; Viridiplantae; Streptophyta; Magnoliopsida; Rosales; Rosaceae. The record is from RefSeq and is a predicted model, not a curated record. The transcript is spliced from 3 exons.